CUUGGCGACCAUAGCGUUUUGGACCCACCUGAYUUCCAUGCCGAACUCAGAAGUGAAACGAAAUAGCGYCGAUGGUAGUGUGGGGCUUCCCCAUGUGAGAGUAGAACAUCGCCAGGC
RNAcentral lists this ribosomal RNA (117 nucleotides) under Vibrio alginolyticus. Lineage: Bacteria; Pseudomonadati; Pseudomonadota; Gammaproteobacteria; Vibrionales; Vibrionaceae. The record is from RNAcentral.